CGGCCCAAAGUUUCAGCCAAGUUCCUCCCUCCCCUUUACUCCCUUUUUCAGUUCUCCUGGUUCCAGCUAGGGUUUCGUGGGCUCGGCCACGUGAGGGCGUUUCGCUGGCGAUUCCAGGGCUUUGCUAGCAAGGAGCAUUCACCGACGAUUUCAAGGCUUCUCCGUCGUGUUGUCUUUCUCAUGUUAGGGUUCCUUUUGUAAAGUUCUCCCCGGGCUGUUAGGGUUUUGUGGUCUCGGUGGUGUGAGGAGGAUUCGCCGGCAAUUCCCAGGUUCUGCGGUCUGUUCUUCUCUCCAGUGGCUCCAGGGCUUCGCCGGCGAGGAGCAUUCGCCGGAGAUUUCAAGGCUUCUCCGACGUGGUGUCUUUCUCGUGUUCGGGUUCCUCGCCUAAAGGUUGUAUAUACGGAUUUCCUGGAUAUCAACUUUUCUAUUCAUCCGUAGCAUAAGUUGUGUUAUUCAGUUCCAAGGAUUUCUUUUGUCAGUCGAGAGGAUUUCAAAUAUGUUAUGGAUCUUGAUCGUGACAGAGAAAGUGCGUCCUCAAGACCUUGUUUUGGCAUUCUAUCUUGGUAAUAUUUGUUCUCCUUACAUUUUAUAUCUUUGUCACCCAAUUUCGAGAAAUAUCAGUUACACCAUAUAGUCAGCCAAGCUCAAAAAUGUAUCUCUUGGAAGGCAUACCCGAGUCGUUCAUGGAACUGAAGCUUCUAAUUUCAAUACUCAUACUUCUGAUAACACUUCUAAAUGCCAAGAAAUGCACAAUGACCCUCUUUGUAGACUCUUCUUCUCCAGAAGUAUGUUUUUUAACCCUUUUUUCUAAUGCACAUGUGGUGUUUUAUUUACACUUUAUUUACUACUAAUUUAAUAUUUCUUUUCUAUGUAAUAUUUUUUUCAUGUUAAUGUGAGUAUUCAACCUUUUGUUCACAAGCAUUGCAAGAUUCUUGUUCAAGAAAUUGCUAAGUUCUUCAACACAGAAAUCCCUACCGAAGCUAUGUCAGUUCUCUCUAAUAGUUUGCCUUGCCUUUCAUCGGAGGUUUAUUCAUUUGCAGUAUCUCAGAAAUAUUGUACAUCUAUUCCAAGUAAAUCUGUUUCUCAUCCAAGCACUCAUUUUGAGAGAUCUCUGUCUAAUGAAAUAGAUCAUGCUUACAUUCACACUUUCAAACAUAAAAAUUUACUCAUUUUGCUCUAUUACAACAUUUUUCUUCUAAACAAUGUUUUUUGAAAACAAUUAUGUUUAAUUGAAUAGUUUAAUUACAUUAUUUAUCUGUUCUUCUAUUGCAACACACUAAUAAUCCCCUCGGACUUGAGGUUUAUUUUAUUACGUAUAAUUAAUUUUUAUGUUCCACAUGCUUUAAUAUAAUGUUCCACUACAGCAAAUUACUAAAUAAGCACCUUUUUUUGUUCCCCUUUAUUAUUUUGUUCUACUACAACAAUGGUUUUAUGACAUUUAUUAGUUUGGUCUAAUGGAACAAAUUAAUAAUCUCCACGGACUCGAUGUUAUUAAUUGUUGUAAUGUAACAAAUUAAUAAACUCCUUGGACUUUGAGGCUUUUUUUUUGUUCCCCUGAAUUUUUUGUUCUAUUUUUUCUCUUUUUUUUCUACUUCAACAUUUUCUUCUAAAUCAAUGUUGUAUGGCAUUUACUAUUUGUUCUAAUGCAAAAAAUUAAUAAUCUCCUUUUGGACUUGAAGAUAUUUUGUUCAACACGGUUCUAAUCACAUCAUUUAUUAGUUGUUCUAGUGAAAAGUUAAUAAACUCAUCGGAUUUGAGGUUUAUUUGUCGCGUAUAAUUAAAUUUUAUGUUCCACAGGCUUUACUAAAAUUUUUCACUAAAGCAAAAUUCUAAAUAAGCAACUUUUUUGUUCCCCUCUAUUGUAUUUUGUUAUAUUUUUAACCCACUUUGUUCUACAUCAACAUUUUCUUUUAAACAAUAUUUUAUAAAAACAAUUUUUUCUAUUUAAUUGUUUAAUUACAUCAUUUCUUAGUUGUCUUGUUGGAACAAAAUAAUAAACUCUUCGGACUUGAGGUUUGUUUUGUUCCAUAUAAUUAAAUUUUAUGUUCCAUAGGCAUUACUAAAAUCUUCUACUCUAACAAAUCAACAUUUUUAUUCCAACUUUUUAUUUAUAAAAUUGUUUUAAUAAAAAAUUUCUUUUUUUGCUUCCAAAUAAAAUAUUAAUUUUGUUCACAUUUUAAUAUGUUAUAUUUAAAUAAUAAGUUAUUUUUUUCACGUGACAAAUAUUUUUGUCCUUUUUAUUUUUUUUUAUUCCAUGUGUUUCAAACUUUGCACCAGCUUAUUAAUACUUCUGUUAUUAUACAAAAGGUAACUGCCUCGCCAUAGAAAAUUAAUUUCCUCUAUUCUUCGCUCAGGGGGGGCUCCCAACUCUGUUUCUGUCUCUCCCCCGCAUCUCCUUUCUUCUUGGUGAAUUCAUCUUCUUCAAGUGUUUCGGAUCUAUCGAACUGCGCAUGGAGGUAAGAUGCACUUGAAUUAGGCACUUGAAUGCCCUCCUAGAUUUGAAUCCCAUUCCUUUCUUUUUAGAUCUUAGGUCUCUCAAGCACUAUAUGAUUUUUUUGAAUAAGAUACAGUGCUGUUCGCCAAACUGAUUUAGAUCUAAAUCACGGGACACUAUUUGUAAGAUUCAUUCAACUCAUCUAGGCAUCUAGAUUAUAUGGAAGAUACAAGAGAAGUAAGAUUUAUUCCCAACUCUUUCUUUCCCGCCUUUAUAGCUUUUUCCUUUUUCUGUGAGAUAUACUAUAUAGGUCCAGAUUAUUCAUCUUCUUCCUGUGCUAAGAUUUUUAUUAUUCAUCCCAAUCUCGCUGCAAUCGCAGACAUGAGUGGUUCGUUGGCAGCAUUUAAAGCAGUUUCCUGUUAGUUUGUCAAAUUCAUUUACCAAUAUCCAGUUUUGUUCAAAUAUGCAUGUUGUUUUAUUCCAUCUUAUGUGCUAAGAUCUGUAUGUUCAGAUCUGCUAUAUAGGUCCAGAUUACCAAUCUCCUUUUACCAAUCUCCAUUUUUGUUCAAAUCUGUUUGUUCUUGUUUUGUUUUUUCAAUUUAAAACUUCUAUUCUUUAUGCUUUUUCUCUUUCUAUUCUCAAUUUGGCUUAUCUCAAAGCUUUCUACAGAUAAAAAUAUUAAUAGUAGUUCCGGAGUUUGUGAACAGAAGUCAACGAUUGAUGCACUGGAGGAAGAUAAUUUUACCUCAAAAAAGUUAUCUACUGUUUCAAGGCCUACAACUGUUUAUAUACAAGGCUCAAAAUGUUGUUAUGAUCAAUUCAGACUUUUCUCUUCAGCUAAUGGGUUUUGUUCAAGAGGCUGUUAUGGAGGCUUUCAUUAAAUUAUUUAACAACAACCACAAACAGAUUGCUGGAACAAAUUGUUCUAUUUCAAAAACUGUUUUUCCUGUUGAUUUAGUGUACAAACUCUGUUCAGAUCCAACCACUUUCGUUCCUGAUUUUAUUCAACAUCAAGUACUCAAGAUACAUGAGGAUAUGGACAUUUCUUCUGCUGAUAUUGUAAUUUGUAUUUUCCCUUUUUUAGUUUUUUUAAUACCUACAUAUAUAUUCUUCACUUUAAUGAUCAAAUAGAUUUUUAAAAUAUUGUGUAUAUCCAUUUUAUUUCUGCAGUUUUGCCUCCAUAUCAUCCUAAGUGAGGCUGUCUCCAACAGGAGACUCUAAACCGUUCUCUACCCAAUAUAUAGAGAAGAUUCUGUUCUCUAUAUGCUCCAGCAGCGUUCUCUAAAUGGUCCUCUAAAAUAGAGAACGCUGCAGCACUUUGGAGUAUCCGUUCUGAAGAUUGUCUGCCUAUGAAUUCCAUUAAGUUCGCAGCAAAUUGCUUGGUUCAAAAUUUUCAGUCAACUUGCCAAAGGGCUAAUGUUUUUCAAAGGGAAAUCUCAAAUUAUCCACUUCAAGUCCCACGAUGCCCAAAGCAUUAAAAUUCCAUUUUUCAAAGGUCAAAUUUAGGGAUAUAUGUUAUGCUGUUCUUGUACCAUUGGGAUGGCAAAUUUGAAAAGAAGUUUGGUCAUGUUCUGGCAAAUGAAUUUAGGAAACUCAUCGCUUACUGGCUGAUGUCCUCUGAUCUAAAUGAGAUCGAUGUAGAAACAAUUACAAAUCAGGAAGAUGUAUCUUGAUAAUGUUAGCUUAUUAGUAUCUUUAGACACAGACUUCUCAAGCCUCUUUCUCGAUGUACCUUCACUGUACUAUUUUUAUAUUGUGUUACGGAUCAUUUUUGGAUCCGGUAGCGUUGCUGUAAAAAGUUAUUUGUCAACCAGUUCAAUUGAAAUAUGGGAUCUUUAUUUAUUGUCCUUCGAUUUUGGAA
This is a long non-coding RNA of Panicum hallii, 4295 nucleotides long. RefSeq lists it as uncharacterized. The record is from RefSeq and is a predicted model, not a curated record. The transcript has 10 exons. Lineage: Eukaryota; Viridiplantae; Streptophyta; Magnoliopsida; Poales; Poaceae.